UUCCGGUUGAUCCUGCCGGAAGCUACUGCUAUCGGGGUUCGAUUAAGCCAUGCGAGUUAAAUGUUCUUCGUGAACAUAGCGAACUGCUCAGUAACACGUGGAUAACCUACCCUUAGGACCGGAAUAACCCCGGGAAACUGGGGAUAAUACCGGAUAAGCCAUAGACGCUGGAAUGCCCUAUGGUUCAAAGCUCCGGCGCCUAAGGAUGGAUCUGCGGUCUAUCAGGUUGUAGUGGGUGUAACGUACCUACUAGCCGACGACGGAUACGGGUUGUGAGAGCAAGAGCCCGGAGAUGUAUUCUGAGACACGAAUCCAGGCCCUACGGGGUGCAGCAGGCGCGAACACUUUACAAUGCGGGAAACCGCGAUAAGGGAACCCCGAGUGCCAGCAUCAAAUGUUGGCUGUCCAGAUGGUUAAAAAUCAUUUGUUAGCAAGGGCCGGGCAAGACCGGUGCCAGCCGCCGCGGUAACACCGGCGGCCCGAGUGGUAGCCGUUUUUAUUGGGUCUAAAGGGUCCGUAGCCGGCCUGAUAAGUCCUUUGGGAAAUCUGACAGCUUAACUGUCAGGCUUCUAAGGGAUACUGUCAGGCUUGGGACCGGAAGAGGUAAGGGGUACCCCAGGGGUAGGAGUGAAAUCUUGUAAUCCCUGGGGGACCAUCUGUGGCGAAGGCGCCUUACCAGAACGGGUCCGACGGUGAGGGACGAAAGCUAGGGGAGCAAACCGGAUUAGAUACCCGGGUAGUCCUAGCUGUAAACGAUGCUCGCUAGGUGUCAGACACGGUGCGACCGUGUUUGGUGCCGCAGGGAAGCCGUUAAGCGAGCCACCUGGGAAGUACGGUCGCAAGGCUGAAACUUAAAGGAAUUGGCGGGGGAGCACUACAACGGGUGGAGCCUGCGGGUUUAAUUUGCAUUCAACGCCCGGAAAUCGUCGA
Molecule: ribosomal RNA, 930 nt
Filed under: archaeon enrichment culture clone AOM-SR-A49
Lineage: Archaea
Description: bacterial SSU rRNA
Rfam family: Archaeal small subunit ribosomal RNA
Source: RNAcentral